RNAcentral lists this ribosomal RNA (465 nucleotides) under Vreelandella stevensii. RNAcentral describes it as "partial 16S ribosomal RNA". It matches the Rfam family "Bacterial small subunit ribosomal RNA", at positions 338 to 795 of the family's 1533-position model. The record is from RNAcentral. Lineage: Bacteria; Pseudomonadati; Pseudomonadota; Gammaproteobacteria; Oceanospirillales; Halomonadaceae.
CCUACGGGGGGCUGCAGUGGGGAAUAUUGGACAAUGGGGGGAACCCUGAUCCAGCCAUGCCGCGUGUGUGAAGAAGGCCCUCGGGGUGUAAAGCACUUUCAGUGAGGAAGAACGCCUGGUGGUUAAUACCCAUCAGGAAAGACAUCACUCACAGAAGAAGCACCGGCUAACUCCGUGCCAGCAGCCGCGGUAAUACGGAGGGUGCGAGCGUUAAUCGGAAUUACUGGGCGUAAAGCGCGCGUAGGUGGCUUGAUAAGCCGGUUGUGAAAGCCCCGGGCUCAACCUGGGAACGGCAUCCGGAACUGUCAAGCUAGAGUGCAGGAGAGGAAGGUAGAAUUCCCGGUUUAGCGGUGAAAUGCGUAGAGAUCGGGAGGAAUACCAGUGGCGAAGGCGGCCUUCUGGACUGACACUGACACUGAGGUGCGAAAGCGUGGGUAGCAAACAGGAUUAGAUACCCGAGUAGUC